UGGAUCAAUGAUGAAAGUAAAGCAAGAACUGUAAAUUAUGAUUAAUCCGAUUCUAUAUGUCUGAGGUCCAA
Small nucleolar RNA from Arvicanthis niloticus (Nile rat), 71 nucleotides. RefSeq annotates it as small nucleolar RNA SNORD113/SNORD114 family. The record is from RefSeq and is a predicted model, not a curated record. Lineage: Eukaryota; Metazoa; Chordata; Mammalia; Rodentia; Muridae.